RNAcentral lists this ribosomal RNA (253 nucleotides) under uncultured bacterium. RNAcentral's name for it is "partial 16S ribosomal RNA". It matches the Rfam family "Bacterial small subunit ribosomal RNA", at positions 524 to 776 of the family's 1533-position model. The record is from RNAcentral.
UACGGGGGGGGCAAGCGUUGUUCGGAAUUACUGGGCGUAAAGGGCUCGUAGGCGGCCAACUAAGUCAGACGUGAAAUCCCCAGGCUCAACCUGGGAACUGCGUCUGAUACUGGAUGGCUUGAAUUCGGGAGAGGGAUGCAGAAUUCCAGGUGUAGCGGUGAAAUGCGUAGAUAUCUGGAGGAAUACCGGUGGCGAAGGCGGCAUCCUGGACCGGUAUUGACGCUGAGGAGCGAAAGUGUGGGGAGCGAACAGG